This is a long non-coding RNA of Cydia amplana, 381 nucleotides long. RefSeq lists it as uncharacterized. The record is from RefSeq and is a predicted model, not a curated record. The transcript is spliced from 2 exons. Lineage: Eukaryota; Metazoa; Arthropoda; Insecta; Lepidoptera; Tortricidae.
UUGUAGGUAUUUUAAGUAGUAGAGGUUGAAUCUAUAUUUUUUGCACAAUAUCACUAAAUGAAUCUCAAUAUUCGUAUACUUACAUGUUUAUACCAAUAAUAAUUAAUUGUAGUCUUGCCAAGUGUCCUUUGUAAUGUUGUCCGUCCAAGUAACAUUAAAAAGUAUGACAAGAUUUAAAUAUUAGAUCUGAAUCGCAAGUUCUACCGGGAGCACUCCCUAGUCCUAUUGGUGUGAAUCAACAUGUUACAAAUGUGGUCCAAUACUUAAUUACUAGAAAAAUGAGCUUUAUUAGUUUUAGGUCAAGUAAUUAUUUUUUAGUUUAUUUUUAAGGAAAACUUUCCAGGUAAUUUUAUACCAAAUACACACUUAUGGAUAACAAAA